GAAUAUUGGACAAUGGGCGAAAGCCUGAUCCAGCCAUGCCGCGUGAGUGAUGAAGGCCCUAGGGUUGUAAAGCUCUUUCAGCGGGGAAGAUAAUGACGGUACCCGCAGAAGAAGCCCCGGCUAACUUCGUGCCAGCAGCCGCGGUAAUACGAAGGGGGCUAGCGUUGUUCGGAAUUACUGGGCGUAAAGCGCACGUAGGCGGAUCAGCAAGUUAGGGGUGAAAUCCCGGGGCUCAACCCCGGAACUGCCUUUAAAACUGUUGAUCUCGAGUUCGGGAGAGGUGAGUGGAAUUCCGAGUGUAGAGGUGAAAUUCGUAGAUAUUCGGAGGAACACCAGUGGCGAAGGCGGCUCACUGGCCCGAAACUGACGCUGAGGUGCGAAAGCGUGGGGAGCAAAC
Molecule: ribosomal RNA, 397 nt
Filed under: uncultured bacterium
Lineage: Bacteria
Description: bacterial SSU rRNA
Rfam family: Bacterial small subunit ribosomal RNA
Source: RNAcentral